This 254-nucleotide ribosomal RNA is filed under the name uncultured bacterium. RNAcentral's name for it is "partial 16S ribosomal RNA". It matches the Rfam family "Bacterial small subunit ribosomal RNA", at positions 524 to 776 of the family's 1533-position model. The record is from RNAcentral.
UACGGGGGGAGCAAGCGUUGUUCGGAUUUACUGGGCGUAAAGGGCGCGUAGGCGGCCAGCGCAAGUCAGUUGUGAAAUCUCCGGGCUUAACUCGGAACGGUCAACUGAUACUGCGCGGCUAGAGUGCAGAAGGGGCAACUGGAAUUCUCGGUGUAGCGGUGAAAUGCGUAGAUAUCGAGAGGAACACCUGCGGCGAAGGCGGGUUGCUGGGCUGACACUGACGCUGAUGCGCGAAAGCCAGGGGAGCAAACGGG